CUGUGCAGCCGCGGCCGUCGCCUCAGAGGAUGGAAAGACGACGCCGGCCUCACGCUUCGCCGCCACGGCCGCCGCCUAGAGUAACGCUCGCCGACCCGAACAGUCACCGUCUCUCAUUCAGCGCCCGCAGCAGCCGCCGCCGCCGCUGCCGCCGCUCGGGGGAGGAGAGUGAGCUGGAACCACCCCGUCCGCGCCAGGGGUGGGGGAAGAGAGCGGACCUGCCGAGGGCGCGCGCCAAGCGGGCGGGGCGGAGCCGCGCGCGCGCGCGCACCAACGGAGCGCGCUCGCGGGGCCCGUGAGCGCUGCAGCCGUCAGGGUCUUAACCUCGCGCUUCCCGCCCGCAGCUUUUCGGCCCAGCGGAGCCCAACUGCCGCCGGGGAUCGGUGUCCGCAGCGCGCUCAGCCAGCCGCAACCCCCACUGCCCGGCGCCUGCUGAAAGAAGCGGCUCCCACCGGCCAAAGAAGGGGGCGGGAAGGGGUGGGAGGAUGGACAGGUGGGGCGUCCGCCACCGCCUGGCCACCCGCUCCCGGCACGCGGCCCUCUGUGAAAUCCGCAGUGAUGUCUGUGGCCUUCAGCGCCCGGCUCUUCACCUUUAAGGCCAAAGUCUGGAAGCACUUGGCCCAAAGAUCAAAUAUUCAGCCCACGCCAGCGGUGUUUUUAUAAGUCACUGCGGACAAAUGAGGGGGCUCCAGAUGUGGCGAGUCACCCCACUGCCGUAGAUAGGGUCAUAAAUUAUGGUGAUCAGUAUCCUCACACGUUAAGAUUCGGGAGGUGUUAGAAGUAGGCCUUUGUAGAUGUCACGCAGGGUCCUACCCUUGACUGAAGGGGCAAAUGACAGAAAUUGGGCGGAAAGGUGUUUCAGAGAGUGUACUAAAUGGAUGGCCUACUUAAAACUAGCACCAUUUGAUGCAGUGACUGUUAACGGAAGGUUUUAAGUGAGCCGCCUUUGUAUCUGCUGUCAUUAGACCAUUUGGAAAUGGAUAAUUAUUUGAUGAUCUGCAGUUCUUUCUCUAGGCAAUGUGCAGUAGAAUGUGGAAAGAAUACUAUGUACCAGCAUUAAGUGUAAAACAUGAAAGGACCAAUAAUUCACUAUUCCCAUUUGGUUUCUUUCCUCCCUUUAAUAACCGCUAAACAGAACUGAUUAAUCUUGAACGUUGAAGAAUGCUAAUUAUUUCCUCCUUUGAUUGCCUUGUGUCAUAGCCCUUUUACUUUAGUUGGGGAAGCAAGAAUGCCCUUCAACCCCCUUCUCUCAAAUAGGGUUACUUCUUUAAAGCACCCCAACGCAAAGUUAAGUCAAAAAGAGAAACAGCAAGGAUAGGCAACAAAGUUCAUAGUGUUUCAUUUUUAUUCCAUUUUACUUUCAAAGAAAGUCUUGAAUCAUGACGAAAUCACUAGCAGAAGUAGAGCAAUCAAAAGAAGAAAAAAAGCGUUCCCCCGCCACCAAUAUUUCAAAUGACAAGAGUCCAAAAAAGAAAAGAAAAAGGAAGAUGAUUGGUAAAAAGGAGGGAAAUGCAUUAUGUAUACAGAAAGUAUUCCCGUAGAUGUUAGUUGCUUCAAGUCCCAAAUCAACAACAACAAACUGAAUUAGCACUUGGAGGAAAAACCCCUUCCAGUUAUUGAGUUGGGUAAAUGUUUAGUCUUUUAAAAGUGUUACUAAGAGAUUAAGGAAAAUGUUGUUGGCUAUAUGCCAACAAUAAUACAUACAACAUACAUACCAUUAUCACACAUAAUUAAGUGCUCUUGAGAAAUAGGAAAACUGAGGAAUGGAACUCUUAUGUUGUUCAAUGUCAUACAAUUACUUGAAACUUGAAUUAGGGUUUCAUAGAUAUAAAUAAGCCAGGGUCCCUACAUCUGCCAAUAAUUUUCACAGCUUAUUGUAAAAGCAGUGAAGUUUUCACUUGGACUUUGAAAAGAAAAAACCAUGUGACUCAUGAGCAAG
This is a long non-coding RNA of Cercocebus atys (sooty mangabey), 1939 nucleotides long. RefSeq lists it as uncharacterized. Lineage: Eukaryota; Metazoa; Chordata; Mammalia; Primates; Cercopithecidae. The record is from RefSeq and is a predicted model, not a curated record. The transcript has a single exon.